This 73-nucleotide transfer RNA is filed under the name Araneus ventricosus. Its description in RNAcentral is "tRNA-Phe". Lineage: Eukaryota; Metazoa; Arthropoda; Arachnida; Araneae; Araneidae. The record is from RNAcentral.
UGCCGAAACCCGGGAUCGAACCAGGGACCUUUAGAUCUUCAGUCUAACUCUCUCCCAACUGAGCUGUCUCUGC